UUUAAAAAGCUCGAGUCUUCUGCGGCUGAAAAUUCAGCCUCUCUAAACGUUAAUAAAUUGCUUCUGCGGCUGAAAAUUAACGCAUGCGCAAAUUUCAUACAUUCUUCUGUUUGUUUUGAUUUCAAGUUUUGGUUUUUGUAAAGCGACAUUUAAACUUAAUGUGAAUUGACGAGUGACAAAGCUAAAAAUAAUAGUAAUAUGUUACAAGUUAUGUCUACAAAAAUAUUGUAAGAAUUUGAAUUUAAGAAUUUAUUAAAUAUAAUUUAGCUAACAAUAUACUGAAGCAUUAUUUUAUGUUAGCAGUAGUAUCAUUGUAGUAUCAUGAUGUCAACAUCUUGAUAUCAAGUUAAUUAUUAACUGUUAAUAACUUUACUAAACUUCAGUACUUAAUUAAUUGCUUCAGUACUUAAUGAAUUAAAAAAAGUAUUUUUUUUUGUCUAAACACUUAUAAAAAUUUAAAAACAUUGUUAAUUUUGAAACAUUGAUAAUUUUGUAUUUAAACAAAUAUUGAGGAUAUUAUUUUAGAAAUAGUUCAUUUAAAACAUUCCAAGAUAUUUUUGAAAGUAUUUAAGUAUUGGUGCUGUGUAAAACAUUUAAUGAAAAAUCUAUUUUCACUUUUGAAAGUUUUUUAAGCACUAGUUCCUCAAUACAUAUUGCAUGUGUAAUUUUUUGUCUUUGUGAUGUAAAAUGUGUUGUGUCCAGUUGCACAAUUUCUUGUUUUUAGAUAAGAAUGCCAACUUGUGCUAACAAAUUCUAGGAGUGAAAUUAUAAAAACCAUAAUUUUGGUUUGUAUAACAUAGUUCAUCACUAGUCAACAUGCACUACUAAUCAUAGUUUUUAACCAUAGUUGAUCACUAGUCAGCUAUUUAAAAAUUUUAACAAAACUAAUAUUUUUUACAAUUUCUAAUCAAUUCUAAAGCAUAAAAAUGCUUAAUUAUAAUCACUCAUAAAUAUAUAAGGAUGGAAAAGUUUCUAUUUGUGUAAACUAAAUAAUUUUUUUUUUAUUAAACUAACACAACAUAAAUCUUGUCUUGUCUACAGACCAUUAUAUACAGAUAUUUUUAAGAAUAAAAUCUUUAUGAUAGAUUCUGUAAAAGAUAUAGAAUAAUUAUUUAUAUAAUUUUUAUUUAUAUAAAUAGUAAAUCCAAUAAAUGAAGAAGUAAAGAAACCUGAUUUAGGUACUGUAUUAACAUAUUUUUAACAUUAUUCAAUGACGUUUUUUAUAAAUAAUAUAUUUUUAUUAUUUUUAAGAAAUUAUGUUAUCUAUAUUACAAGAUUAUAUUACUAUAUUACAAGACCCUGACUUUGUAUAAACAGUAAACCAAACUGUUUACUACUUAUGGAAAUCAUUGUGAAUUGACCUGACUUAGCAAAAAGAUUCAACUUAUGUUUAAGAAAAUCAACUCAAGACAAUCAUAAACAAAGAUAAUUCGAAAACGACCAAAGUACAGGAAUAAAUAAUGAAAGUCGAUAAAAUGAAGAAUGACAAAUUCAAGUCAUAAACAUUAUAAAAAAGAUAAACAUUUCUUUAACAAAAAUUGUUGUUUAAUAUUUUUGAAGCACUAAAUGAAAUA
Long non-coding RNA from Hydra vulgaris (swiftwater hydra), 1574 nucleotides. RefSeq lists it as uncharacterized. The record is from RefSeq and is a predicted model, not a curated record. NCBI's taxonomy places the organism in Eukaryota, Metazoa, Cnidaria, Hydrozoa, Anthoathecata, Hydridae.